AACGGUCUAUACCUGCGGUACCUGCGGAAGGAUCAUUACCGAGUUUUCAACUCCCUAACCCUUCUGUGAACCUACCUAUCGUUGCUUCGGCGGACUCGCCCCAGCCCGGACGCGGACUGGACCAGCGGCCCGCCGGGGACCUCAAACUCUUGUAUUCCAGCAUCUUCUGAAUACGCCGCAAGGCAAAACAAAUGAAUCAAAACUUUCAGCAAUGGAUCUCU
Molecule: unclassified non-coding RNA, 221 nt
Filed under: soil metagenome
Description: partial contains 5.8S ribosomal RNA, internal transcribed spacer 2, and large subunit ribosomal RNA
Source: RNAcentral